CCUACGGGAGGCAGCAGUGGGGAAUAUUGCACAAUGGGGGAAACCCUGAUGCAGCGACGCCGCGUGAGUGAAGAAGUAAUACGUUAUGUAAAGCUCUAUCAGCAGGGAAGAAAAUGACGGUACCUGAGUAAGAAGCCCCGGCUAACUAAGUGCCAGCAGCCGCGGUAAUACGUAGGGGGCAAGCGUUAUCCGGAUUUACUGGGUGGAAAGGGAGCGUAGACGGCAGUGCAAGUCUGGAGUGAAAGGCGGGGGCUCAACCCCCGGACUGCUCUGGAAACUGUACGGCUGGAGUGCAGGAGAGGUAAGUGGAAUUCCUAGUGUAGCGGUGAAAUGCGUAGAUAUUAGGAGGAACACCAGUGGCGAAGGCGGCUUACUGGACUGUAACUGACGUUGAGGCUCGAAAGCGUGGGGGGCAAACAGGAUUAGAUACCCCUGUAGUC
This 440-nucleotide ribosomal RNA is filed under the name uncultured bacterium. RNAcentral describes it as "partial 16S ribosomal RNA". It matches the Rfam family "Bacterial small subunit ribosomal RNA", at positions 338 to 795 of the family's 1533-position model. The record is from RNAcentral.